UUUAAUUGGCUUUUUUCUACGUCGCGUGUACAACAACAACGCAAACAAAUCAAACAAAAAAAAAGCAGUGAGCGGUUGCAACAAUAAUGUAUACCAAUGUAACCGACAAACCAUACUCUUACAUAUACGCACGAACUAACGGUGUUGCAAGAAAAUCGCACUCAUUAAACAUUUACUUUUGACUUUUGUUGCUUGUCGGCGCCAACUUUUUGAUGUUUGUCAAAGUAAGGAAAAGCAAAAACAAAACAAAAAAAAAAUAAUCUACCGCCAAAGGUUAAUGAAAGCAGAACGGCGCAGUGCCCUUGGGGGCUGGAAACAUCGAAAAUCCCAAAGUGACGUUGGUCGAAAAGGAAGCUCCCAGGCUGUUGAACCGCGAGGCGGUAGACAAAAUUUACAUAAAUUGCAAUAAUAUGAAAUUAAAUUCUUCAGUUUGGAAUAAUUUAUACUUCCGGCCUUACAGUUAAAGCAUGGGAAGACCAGAAGUCACCAAACUCUCAUUCAUAUGCCAACUUCGUGGAAUAUCGGAGCUGUGACCAUUUGUUCGGCCGUGUGUCCAUUUUAAAUGAGGUAUGACCCACAUUAGAUGCACCCUCUUGCACUACCUUCAAGCAGCCGUAGAUUUAUGACUAGCCUCUGGUUUUGGUAUAUAAAAUGAGAUAAGAAAGAGGGAAGACGAAGGAGAAACCUCUACACGCAUAAAAGGUAGCCGCAAACAACACAAAGUACGAGCACUUUUAGAUAAUCGGAGCCGUAUAUUCCUCUACCACUAAGGGUAGGAUGAUCCAAGCACUGCUUCGGUCACUGGCAUGGAACUAAGAGUUACUUUCCUUUAUUUUUGAUACAUUCUUAUCGCAACUUCUUACCGUGCUCAACUGUCUAUUUGUUUCAAAUUUUAAAUACCUCUACCGCAAAAGCAUGAUCGCACUCACAAAAAGAAGUAUUCCAGUACCCCAGAUGGCUAUAAUCUGAACCAAUAUGUGCUUAAAAUUCGCAGGACUCCAACCGAUGUCAUCAGCAUACCUCUACAAUGGCACCAUCGGGCCCCGAAUACAAAAGUGUAAACUUUUAUCAAGCCGACAUAACUGCAAGAUCAACGACACUUCUCCUACAGAAUACUCGAGAUCGCCUGCCAAAUAUUUAUAUGGAUUUUUAAAAGAAUCGCCUGAAAAUUACUGGAUAUUAAUUUUCCACCACACGCACACCUUAGUGUUGUGUCCACUUGAGAUUACUACAACUGGCGCUGCCUUUAAAGAGCUACUGUCAUAGCUGAGGACCUCCUAAAAGUAUGCAGCGUAUUUCCAAGAAGCUUCGGUGAAUGCAAUAAAUCCAGUUUAUAACGCACCGAAAACAAAACAAAAACAAAAAGAAAAGCAAAUCACCAAGACCGACAGGCAUUGAUUGCCUACAUUCAGCCACAAAAUUUAAUUUAUCUAACAUUCACCGUUGUCCUUUACGUUGCGGUUUUUCAAUUCACAACACAUCACAAGCAAAAGAAUUUGCCGCCAGUUGGGUGAGGUAGAGCGUGCACGCUUUCGGUAGAUGGCUGAACAAAAGAAAGGGAUAACAACAACAAUGACACGAGUGUCACAAGCGUGCUGCACUCAAUGGUGGCGGUUAUGUGGUGGCAAUGGCAAAUGUUGUUGACGGCGUUGGAAAUGGAAAUGGUUGGUUGAAUCAUGUUGGCCUCGAUAUUGCUACGAAUUCCAUGUAUGUGGGAGUGUGUGUGUGCGUGUGUGUGGCACAUGUACUCCUGAAGGUGCUCGAAAUGAGGGCUUGUUGUUAUUUGCUGCUAUUUGGACUUGAUAUCAUCUGUGUAUGACAUUGAUAACAACAACAGCAACAACAAACCACAGCUGAAGCAUCAGGUACGGUAUUAGUGAGUAACAAAACCGCACUUUACUCAUAGCGAGGAAAUACGUACGCACUCAUACUUAUACAAUAAGUUUAUGAAGUGCCGAGUUUGGGAUUUCUGUUCUGUUCAUUUUCGCACCCGGUCUUAGUUUGCUGUACCGGGGUUACUAUAUUUAUUAGCUGAGCUGUUAAAAUUAUUC
This 2051-nucleotide unclassified non-coding RNA is filed under the name Ceratitis capitata (Mediterranean fruit fly). RNAcentral's name for it is "uncharacterized LOC110117770, transcript variant X1". Lineage: Eukaryota; Metazoa; Arthropoda; Insecta; Diptera; Tephritidae. The record is from RNAcentral.